This 921-nucleotide long non-coding RNA is filed under the name Oncorhynchus mykiss (rainbow trout). RNAcentral's name for it is "lncRNA (ENSOMYG00000070989.1)". Lineage: Eukaryota; Metazoa; Chordata; Actinopteri; Salmoniformes; Salmonidae. The record is from RNAcentral.
AUAUAAUGUUAUGUGCGUGAUCAAUUUAAAUGGAAAGCUGUUCAAUUGCAGCGGAAUAGCGGAUUUUUAAAUACUUGGGUUGACGUCACUAAACUUUUCAAGAAGCGGUGCGCGCCGUCCGCGUUUGUGAAUAGAGACAGAACAGAACCGUGCGGGAACGAGAGAGAGCUGGGCGACAAGGAGACCGUACAAAACAAGGACUCUUUCACUUCAUUCGGAGAGAGGGAACUGAUGAGUCAGAGGGGAGGAUAGAUGAGUGACAGACACUACUAGUGGGUUCCAGACACACAAAUCCAAAUCAAGAAGGCUCCUGAUCCACUGCAGAGCCCAGGUCUCAGUACCACCAUAGAAGCUAUCGCAGUAUGAACCGAGCUUUCAACCGGAGAAAAGGUAACAGCUCACUGUAUUCAUUGAGUUCAUUUGAAAUAACACCAUGUUUCUUAUACACAAACAGCACAGUCUUUUGAAAGCAUGUUGACCUCAAGUACUUACCCACUGGGCAAGACCUGGUUGAAUCGACGUUGUUUCCAUGUCCUUUUUAAUCAAAUUUAAUGUGAUGACGUUGAAUCAGAGUGGAAAACUGGAUAAAAAUAAAUCAAUGUAAGGGAUUUUUUUAACCUAAAUAUAAUCUGAUUUUUUGGGGUUUGAUUUCAUGUUAGUUGACAACUGAACCAAAUGUAAAUCAAACUUUGACAUUGAAAUGAGGUCUGUGUCCAGUGGGUAGAGACAUUUCAUGUUGUACUUCUUUAUGGAAUAUAUGUGUUACUUACAGAACAUAAUGUAAAGGCAAUUUGUACCUACUCAGGUCAAUUUAAUUCCUGAUGAACAAAUGUCUCAAUUCUCUCAAUCUCUUCAUUAGUGUCUCUUUCUGUCGCUCUAGUAGUGUCUACACUUUACACUUACAUGUGACUUCUGCUGUCA